This is a long non-coding RNA of Vanessa atalanta (red admiral), 751 nucleotides long. RefSeq lists it as uncharacterized. Lineage: Eukaryota; Metazoa; Arthropoda; Insecta; Lepidoptera; Nymphalidae. The transcript is spliced from 2 exons. The record is from RefSeq and is a predicted model, not a curated record.
CUUAAUUCUUAUGAGAUUGCUCUGGUCAGGGAGGGUCGUUUGGAAGGCAUUGAGAUGGAACUUUAAUAAGGCACAGGCAGGGGAAUAGUCGUACAUCAAGACGACUGCCAGGCGUGGGCUAUUCCACAACCACGGUGCAUCCAACCGGGUCAGUGCCAGGUUCUUUCGAGUCACCGGUCCACCUAGUUGUUCUUAGGCAGUUUACCUGCGGUCUCAACACAAUGAUUCUCCUCUUCAAAUAGACAUCGGUCUUUAGACCUAAUUAAUAUUCUGACAACUAUUUUGUAUUAAUUUUUGUAACUUAUUUAAUAUUCUUGGAAUUAAGUCUAUUGUAAUUGGAUAUGUAUGGUAUAUAUAUGGAAAACGAAAUUAAGGAUCCUGGUUUUUAGUUUGUUAUUUUUUUAUAAUUUAGGUACAUUAAAUACUGUUAUUUAAAAAGGUACAAGUAAAAAGAAAGUUAUUUAAAAGUAUCUAUUAAGAGAGUAAAAUAUGUAUAACUUAAUUAAAUAUACUAAUUACAUUUCUGUCCAAUGGUACAAAACAAUAAACUUCAAACUGUUUUAUCACAAAUAAAAUGUAAAAUAAAUUGAUUAUCUUAAUAUAAUUUAUACAAUGUCUCAUCAUCAUUACCAUUUUUAAGCUAAACGUGUAAUCCUCAUGCAAUUAAAACAUAAGUUGUGCUGUGGAAAAGUCUACUUGAAUUUAAAAUUAAACUAUCUAUCUUAAUAAUUUUAAAAAUAAUCUGGAUAAA